This 221-nucleotide long non-coding RNA is filed under the name Gossypium barbadense (sea-island cotton). RNAcentral's name for it is "long non-coding RNA (GBAR_LNC022791)". Lineage: Eukaryota; Viridiplantae; Streptophyta; Magnoliopsida; Malvales; Malvaceae. The record is from RNAcentral.
UGUAAACCUGUAAAGUUUAAAACGUCAAAUAAAAAGAUAUCCACAAACUAAGAAGUCAAAUUGCAUAACCCUGAAACUUUAAAUUAAGGAGAAAAAGAGGUAUAUCAUUAUCUUUCUUGUAAAUUUAUGCCGAAAGUUUUCAUUUGCCAAUAAUUAUGCCACCUAUAUAGCCUAAAAGUGAUAUUAAAUCUAACCAAAACUUUGUGGUCCAAAAUAGAACC